This 376-nucleotide long non-coding RNA is filed under the name Dasypus novemcinctus (nine-banded armadillo). Its description in RNAcentral is "lncRNA (ENSDNOG00000051430.1)". Lineage: Eukaryota; Metazoa; Chordata; Mammalia; Cingulata; Dasypodidae. The record is from RNAcentral.
AGAAUGCUGGAUUUAACUCUUUUCAAAAAGAAAGAGUCAAGUCUUCUACUUUAAUGGAGGAAAAGACUAGUCAUCAUAUUGAGUCACCUGAAGUUGGUUUCAGAGAUACUGUCCAGAAUAAAAUUUUCAGUCACUGGGAGUGAAAUUGUAUUGCAACCAUAAUGCUAAUCUUAUAUGACCUACAUCUCUCACCCGGAGAAUUCCGAAUGAAGCUUUAAUACUUAAGAAUACUUUUAGCUGCAUGGCCUAUUUGUUUUCCGUAGGAGGUGGGUAUUUAAUCUGUCAGACAUUUGUAAAACACCAAAAGCAGUAUGGCCUUUGACCUGGGUCACUAAAAUUGCACCCCAUGCAAGUGAAUUUUUGAUUUCACCCAGCA